GGAGCAUAAAGCUCAACGCGAAUUGACAGUUGUUUGUGAUGUCUGUUAGUGUUAGUACAAUUCAGGCAAUUUUUCCUCUCAUGCAUUAGUAUGUGUGGUAUUGACGUUUGUUUGUUUUGGAGUCAAUUCAGAAGUCGCAAGUGAUAUGGAUGCCGAAAUUUUUAUUUCGCUGCUAUGGAACAAGUUAAGUGAUGAACCUUUCUGAUCAAAGCGAAGCAAUGGUCACAGGCGCACGAGGGCAUCAUGGAGUAUAUUGCCAUGGAUUGUGUUAUUAACGACAACUUCCCUUAUUCGAAAUCAGUAUUGAUCGAGAUCAAGGAUGUGAAAUAAAUUUCCAACUGGUUCAUCAAGGGCAAAAUUUUGAGCGACUUCAUCGAGCUGAAUGUGAAGUUCGUCCUGACCCGGAACACGAUCGACGAUGAGGUGUCCGCAACUCGACUCGAGGAAUUCAAACCAAAACUGUCCGAUCUGUGCUCGGCGAUCAAGAUGUUCCCCUGUCCGACACAAAAGUAUCGGUUCAGAUAGAGCGAAAUCAUCCAGUUGUUGGCAUUUCUGAUUCGUCAUUCAUCGCCCAGGAUCCGCUUAUUAACAGCUGUGCGUUGAAGCGAAAUGCGUUCGAGAAGCUGUCCUUGCUCCAGGAGUACGUGCACCAGGAAUUGCGACAUAUGUAUGCUGAGCGCCUUUCUGGACGAAGAGAUAGUGAGAUAGUGUUUGAAGGAAAAUUACUAUGUAAUUUUAAUUGUAAGAAUAAUUACUGCAAUGGUGGAAUAAAAUAGACAGUCUAGAAUGGAUGAAUAAGCAUAUACUCUCUCGUAGGUAAAUUCUAAGGAUAAUCACAGGAACUGAACACAUAUCACAUAUAAUUAAGUACCCCCCCCCCCUUGUUACGAAAUGAUAUAAUUAUUGGUUCAUCAAAUUGUACACUUUUUUCUAACCGUGUUUCUGAGACUGUUGAAAAAAUAUGUGGCAACAGAGCGUGUGAAAUAAAACAUGCUAGUUGUGUAUGUUUGGAAAUAAAAGAACUUAGCGUGUGGAUAAGUACACCGCAACUGGACUAAAGUUAGUUUUUGAAAAACUGUUUAUUACACCCAUGUUUUUUGUCCAGUAGGUUUUUCAUGUUUAUUUAACAUAAGAACACCGCUCUGAUGUGCAAGUAGUGUACGCGAGGCCUGGCGUACCAAACCCCGGCCGAAUGUACUCUCCAAUGGACACAAAUUUGGGAAGGCUCGUGGUUGCCGCAGCAGUUGUGGUUUCAGGAUUUCCCAUAUGCAAUCAGCUGCAUGUAGCUGAAAUAUUUGCAAUGUUUACCUGUCAUUCCACUAUAUUAAUAAAUGCAUGUAUGUGUAUGUGAAUGAUGUACGGUUUUGUGUAGUGCGAUGACUCUUUCACAUUGUUAUCCGGUUAUCCGUCCAAACCCAGCGGCGCUUUUUGAAACCGGUCCGGCUGAAACCGGAUAAUGUGUAAUCGCCCUAAGGGUGAUUAACAAAUAGGAGUACCAGGUAAAAAUUUUGAGAAAACAGUUUUUAGUAGUUUUAUGGCGAGCGGUCAAAGCAUUGUGGUCAAAGUAAUGAAUUUAUUUAAGGCACACCGGGCAAAUUGAAACAAUUUUUUCGAAGCUCAACUUGAAAGCUAUCUUAAAAAAUAAUCAAAUCAUAAAAUUCAAAUCUAUUUGCAGCAUAUACAAGGUAUGCGGAACUUUCGAUCAAAAAAAAAAAAAAUAGAGGUUCACACUGGAUGUUCCGAAAAAUACAUAUUUUCAAAAUUUCUAUUUUACGCUAGCUGACCCAAUGACCACAUUCACGUUUUCUUACUUAGCACACGUUCAUGGGUCCAAUCGCAGAACAGUUCAUUGAUUGAUCUUCUAAUGUACCCUUUAAUCAUCUCUUUCUAUAAAAUUCCUAGUACUUCUACCAAACUCGUCAUUAUAAUAUCAGAUUAUUUUCAGACACAAUUCUCAUUCAAGAUUUUUGAACCAAUUACAAAUAACGUGUUUCUCCGUUACAUGGAAUAAAUGUUUGAUACAGAAAAUAUAAUAGAAU
Toxorhynchites rutilus septentrionalis is the source of this 2039-nucleotide long non-coding RNA. RefSeq lists it as uncharacterized. The transcript is spliced from 3 exons. NCBI's taxonomy places the organism in Eukaryota, Metazoa, Arthropoda, Insecta, Diptera, Culicidae. The record is from RefSeq and is a predicted model, not a curated record.